CAACCACCACCCCAACUACAAGUACCGCCACAACUACAACCACUACCCCAACUAGAACUACAACCACCACCCCAACUACAAGUACCGCCACAACUACAAGUACCGCCACAACUAUAAGCUCUGCAGCUACAACUGUUACAUCAACUGCAACAACUGCCUCUACAACCAAAAGUGAUGCUUGUUCUAUCAGACUGGGAAUGUUCCAUCUGCUGCUUGGACUCCUUCUCUUUACCUUUUAUUAAAGUCCCGAAUAACAAAAAAAACAAACAAAAGAACAUAUGAUGUUUUAACAAGACUCAAAAACCUUUUGGAUAUUCACCUUGUGUUUACAAACCACUGUUAAAGUAUAGUCAAUGAAAAAAGGUGAUAGAGUCUUGUUGAAGCUGACUUGGAAUAAGUAUGUAAGACUUCUUUGUAUGUUGUCAUGAUGGACAAUUAUGUCCAUUAUGUCCAAAAUAAUAUAAUAAUAUAAUAAUUAUUUAUAAUGGAUAAUACAACUGAAUCCUUAUAACAACAACAAAGCAUGCUUUGGAAAUAGAAGAAAGAAGGAGAAUUUCUAUUUCUUAUUUAUUCAUUUAUUUUGCUUUGUGCUUUUUAUUUUCUGCAUUUCUCUCUGUAUAUUUCUAGUGAUCAAUGGUGAAUCUGCAAGGGUGGCAUGUGCCCACCUAAAAUUAAUCUCUUGCCAUCCUUAGUGGAACCCAAGUUUUGCAUAUGACAGUGUUUUUAAUUAAAAUAAGCUAGCAUUAACACUUUGAGCCUAGCUACAGUUAACAUUGACAGAGUGAGCAAUACAGUAAGUUUGCACCUCCUCUUGUCAGACCUGCAGGGUUUAAGCUUGUGGUGUUCACCUCUGUCUUAUGGCAGACAAACUAUUUUUUUGCACUGGCACAAAUAAUUUGUGUGCUAUCUUACUGUGACACCUGAUUGUUGUCUAAUUUUUGUUUUAGUAGUUUUAAAUAGAGUUACAAAAAAACUUCAGAUGCAUUGCCUGCAUUUUUCGGUAAAUAGUUGUAUAGAACUUUAUUGUUUACAAAAUGUGGGUGUAGGUCUUUAGAAUUUAGGAAAUUUCUGUAGAUCUGCCCCUGCUGAUGAUAAAGAUACAAUAAAGCCCUUGUCCUAUA
Long non-coding RNA from Haplochromis burtoni (Burton's mouthbrooder), 1121 nucleotides. RefSeq lists it as uncharacterized. The record is from RefSeq and is a predicted model, not a curated record. NCBI's taxonomy places the organism in Eukaryota, Metazoa, Chordata, Actinopteri, Cichliformes, Cichlidae. The transcript is spliced from 2 exons.